RNAcentral lists this transfer RNA (85 nucleotides) under Rickettsia endosymbiont of Culicoides impunctatus. RNAcentral's name for it is "tRNA-Leu". It matches the Rfam family "tRNA". Rfam says of the family: Transfer RNA (tRNA) molecules are approximately 80 nucleotides in length. Lineage: Bacteria; Pseudomonadati; Pseudomonadota; Alphaproteobacteria; Rickettsiales; Rickettsiaceae. The record is from RNAcentral. RNAcentral also lists the same sequence under 2 other names.
GCGGUCGUGGCGAAAUUGGUAGACGCGCAACCUUGAGGGGGUUGUUCUUAACAGAGUGGAAGUUCAAGUCUUCUCGACCGCACCA